AUGCUUACCAUUAAGAGUGCCUUCUUUGCCAUUGCUGCUCUCUCUCUGUCCAGCCAUAUCUCUCCAAUUCUCUUUUCUACUAUGGCGAGAGACCCAGGGCGUAAACCAGCAAGUCCACUGCAGAAAUCAGUGGUAAGCAAACCUUAGUCUUCAUCAGAAUCACCUGGAGUGCUUGUUAGACCAGAUGGCGGGACCCCGCCUCAAGACUUUCUGAUUUAAUAGGCCUGGAGGGGGGCCGAGUAAUUUACAUGUCUAACAAGUUCUCAGGUCAUGAUGAUGAUGAUGAUGAUGAUGAUGAUGAUGCUGGUCCAAGGAGUGCACUUAAAGAAUCACUGGCAUAAGGAAAAAUCUAACAAGGUAAUUAGAUGCCUGUCUUCUUCAUUGCAUACACCUCCAAUCUCUAUGAGUAAAUUUCUUGGAGCCCCUUCACGUAUCUUUUGAGUUGUUUGAAGAUUCUUUGUCCUCAGCUUUGGAUCUUAGUCACCAGUCUGGGAUUCCAGGAAAUGUCCUGCUCCACAACCUAUUAUGAAUAAAUGCAUGGGGGAGGCAGGGCCUUACUGAGAGCUAUCUUGAACGCAGUCUACAAUGAAUUACCCUGAAGAACCAAAUGAUGUCUCUUAGGAUGAAGGAAUCGAUGAUCAGAAAAAUUUAGUAAUGUGUCUAAGGUUACACAGAAAACAGGAGAGAGUCAAUCACCACAUUUUGAACAAAAAAGUGAUGUUACAAAAAAUUUCUUCAGGAAAGGUGAUCUGACAAUUGUCUACAGACUGAGGAGCUGAAAGGUUUGAGGCAAAGGACCAGUUGAAAGAAUAUCAUGAUAGUUAACAACUCACGAGAGUCCAUAGUGGGAAAAUGAAGAAAUUGGAGAAGGAUAAUGAUCCUGAGGCUGGAAGAUAAAUAAAAAUGUAAAGCAUAAAAUUUUCCUUGAUGGAAAGUAUAUCCUGAUUCCAAAGGAAGAUGGUGAUUUCAGCAGCGGGUUUAACUUCCCACUUCUGUCCACUCAUCACCCUCAUUUUCUGUUUGUAUCUAAAAAAUUUGAUGAAACUUAUUAAUUCACUUAAACAUUUACUAAGCUCUUACUAUAGGCCAAACGUUGUGCUCGGUGAAAGGAGUAUUAAAAUGGGAAAACAUGUCAGAGCCUAAAACUGGCAAUGCACACUUCACAAGCAAUUUCUGCUAAGGGGCUUGCAGAUAUCCCUUGACUGAAGAAGAACCAAAAAUCGAACUUUCCUCCUCAGAAUGUGGUGUGUGUCACAGAAAGUAGGUAAAAAAGGUACUGACAGAGUCUACUACUACUACCUAAUUUAGAGAGUUGAAGGUUGGGGUCAGGCUUGGCCAUGAGACAGAAGAUAGGCAGCUCCCUUGGGUAUGUCACUGCUUCUUCAGAUCAUCAGUAUCUGGAAGGAGCAAUAUGUAUCACCCUAAAUAAAACUCCAGCUAUCAGGCUU
Molecule: long non-coding RNA, 1448 nt
Filed under: Equus caballus (horse)
Lineage: Eukaryota; Metazoa; Chordata; Mammalia; Perissodactyla; Equidae
Description: lncRNA (ENSECAG00000048414.1)
Source: RNAcentral